Molecule: ribosomal RNA, 259 nt
Filed under: uncultured bacterium
Lineage: Bacteria
Description: partial 16S ribosomal RNA
Rfam family: Bacterial small subunit ribosomal RNA
Source: RNAcentral
CUUGCUUUCUUUUGCUGGCGACCGGCGCACGGGUGAGUAACACGUAUCCAACCUGCCCUUUACUCGGGGAUAGCCUUUCGAAAGAAAGAUUAAUACCCGAUAGUAUAAUGAUUCCGCAUGGUUUCAUUAUUAAAGGAUUCCGGUAAAGGAUGGGGAUGCGUUCCAUUAGGUUGUUGGUGAGGUAACGGCUCACCAAGCCUUCGAUGGAUAGGGGUUCUGAGAGGAAGGUCCCCCACGUUGGAACUGAGACACGGUCCAA